Molecule: ribosomal RNA, 497 nt
Filed under: uncultured bacterium
Lineage: Bacteria
Description: partial 16S ribosomal RNA
Rfam family: Bacterial small subunit ribosomal RNA
Source: RNAcentral
GCCCCCCCCUUUCUUCGUGCCUAAUACAUGCAAGUUGAGCGCUGAAGGUUGGUACUUGUACCAACUGGAUGAGCAGCGAACGGGUGAGUAACGCGUGGGGAAUCUGCCUUUGAGCGGGGGACAACAUUUGGAAACGAAUGCUAAUACCGCAUAAAAACUUUAAACACAAGUUUUAAGUUUGAAAGAUGCAAUUGCAUCACUCAAAGAUGAUCCCGCGUUGUAUUAGCUAGUUGGUGAGGUAAAGGCUCACCAAGGCGAUGAUACAUAGCCGACCUGAGAGGGUGAUCGGCCACAUUGGGACUGAGACACGGCCCAAACUCCUACGGGAGGCAGCAGGAGGGAAUCUUCGGCAAUGGACGAAAGUCUGACCGAGCAACGCCGCGUGAGUGAAGAAGGGUUUCGGAUCGUAAAACUCUGUUGGUAGAGAAGAACGUUGGUGAGAGUGGAAAGCUCAUCAAGUAACGGUAACUACCCAGAAAGGGACGGCUAACUACGUG